UAUGCUCUACUAGAAUAUCAAUUCUACUUACUAGUACACUUGGUUCAAUCAAAAACCUGGUAAUAAAUUGUUCAAAUAAGGCCUUUGAAAAUAGUGUAAUUAAUUACUUUUGGAGUGUCAAAAAUUCGUUGGAAAUACUUGAUAAAUUGCAUUCUUAUAUUGGUGAUUUCGAAUCUGUUCAAAGUUUCGAUUUUUCUAACCUAUAUACCACUUUGCCUCAUAAUCUUAUUAAGAAAAAAUUCACACACCUGAUUAAUUUGGCAUUUAAAAAGUCGGAAUGCGAAUAUAUAUGUUCAAACUCUUUUAGGUCAAUUUUUAGUAACAACAAACAAAAGAACUAUGUCAAUUGGACCUGUUUUGAUACUAUAACUGCCUUUGAAUUUUUACAAGAUAACAUUUUUGUUCGCUAUAAAGAGUCCGUAUAUCGUCAAGUUAUCGGAAUUCCCAUGGGGACUUACUGUGCACCACUUAUUGCGGACCUGUUUCUGUAUUGUGAUGAGUUACAAUUUAUGACUAAAAUCAGCAAAGACCAAUCGAAACAACACGAGAUUCAAACAUUAAAUAACACUUUUAGAUAUUUAGAUGAUAUGUUGGCUCUCAAUAAUGACGACUUCAGUAUGUACACUUAAGAGAUUUAUCCUGCCGAACUGACUUUUAAUAAAACUAAUACUAACAAUGACCACAGCCCUUUCCUGGAUCUUGAUAUCUAUAUUUUUAACGGGAAGCUUAAUACCAAAAUUUAUGAUAAAAGAGAUGAUUUGUCAUUUCCUAUUGUUAAUCAUCCAUUUGUAGAUGGUGACGUUCCCUUGUCACCAUCUUAUCGUGUUUAUAUAUCUCAACUUGUUCGAUUCACUCGUGUAUGUAACAACGUAUUGGAUUUCAACAAAAGAAAUCUCUGUAUUACUGAACAAUUAUUACACCAGGGUUUUCGAUAUCACAAGCUAGUCAAACCAUUUACUAAGUUUUAUCAUCAGUACAAGGACAUCAUUCGUAAAUAUAAAUCAACAUGCAGACAUCUUAUACGUUCGGGUAUUUCACAUUAUAUACAAUAUUUUCACAUUAUAUACAAUAUUUUCACAUUAUAUACAAUAUUUUAUGGUUAAAUUCUUUACAAAGCACACAAUUAUCGACAUUCACCUCAAAAGCUAACCAAACCUUUAAACAGACUUAUUAGGAAGGAAUAUAGUUACGAUACUGUUGUCAGAUCAUUAAGGAUUGCAUAUUUUGGUAUUAAUAUUGAUUCACUCAUAGGGUCUUUGCAUCGGAAAUAAACACAUUUAUUCUAAAUCCAGUUGUUGGCAUGAUACAGGUUAUGUUCUUCUUAUAUAUUUUAUGAUGAUAUGAUGCUAAACCCCUAACGGGAGGGAUUGUACUUGAUUUUCAUAUGAUGAAGACAUAAUCUUUCAAUCAGUUCAAUUUAGGUCUGGAGCUGGUAUGUCAGUUACUACUAGUAGUCCUUUGUUAAUUUAUGUAGCAUUGUCAUUUUGCUUAGUUUCUUUUGUUGCCUAUUCUGACAUCGGACUCGGGCUUCUUUUAAACUGAGUUUUACUGUGCGUAUUGCUAUGUGUUUCUUUGUUGUACAUUGGCUAGAGGUCUCACAAAAAAUGUUUAACUCCGCCACAUUUUAGCACCUCUUUAAAAUUAGAAGACAAAAGAAUAAUCUUAUAUAGAAGGAAAAUAUAACCAGGUUUAAUCCACCAUUUUCUACAUAAGAAAAUGCCUGUACCAAAUCAGGAAUAUGACAGUUGUUAUCCAUUCGCUUGAUGUGUUUGAUCUUUUGAUUUUGCCAUUUGAUUAGGGACUUUCCGUUUUGAAUUUUCCUCGGAGUUCAGUUUUUUUGUGAUUUAACUUUUUUCUAUGAUUCAAUUUGUCCUAAGACCAUCAUAAUUUGAACUAUCUUGAGACGCUUUGAUUGCGGUCUUUGACGUAUCCGUAUGGCUAUCUGAGGAUACUUUCGAAAUCAGGUGUAAUGUAUACCCUGGUCUACUGAAGCUAUUACCUCGGAUUGUAACAAAGAGUGAAUUUAUUUAAUUUGCUUGUUAUUUAAUUUCCUUUUAACCUUGUAUUCUUUUUUUUUUCUAUAUAACCAUGCACGUAUAAACAAAAGUUGCAAACGGUUGUCAUGAAUUUAAGUCUUGUGCUGUGUAAUAAGUAAGAGGUUUCAUCGUUAACAACAUGUUUUAUAUUAAUUCCAGAAAAUCAGUUUUAUGGUGUGCAGUAUACUAGGGGCAGCAGAUUUUUCUCCAUUUCUAUUAUCUAUGUGGAUUCCAAAAUUGAGAUUUAUGUGUGAUGUUGGCGGUUGUGGCUAUAUCAACAAGGAAUACUUUUAUACAAUAUCAAUUUUGAUGGUCAUAUUAUCCGUUGUUGUAUUACUACUCACGAUCAUUUCAGCAUCCUACUGUUGUUGUUCACCAUGGGAUAUACAAGAAAAUCAGGUGCUGGGAUGUUGCUACAUAAAAUGGAAAGUUCACAGUUGGUUGAACACACCUCUUAAAGUUAAGUUCUUAUCUUACAAUCACUGUCAAUUCAAACAUGAAAAUAUGAAGCAGGUACAAAUGUACUCUUAACCAUUCACUAUGCUUGAUGCUUACAUUUUUUAAUUCGGUCAAAACCCAUCCUAAUGAAAUAUUAGUCUCAGGGCUUUCAUACGUCCAGAUGAUUUGGACUCAAUACUGAUAUGUUACAUGACAGACAUUUUAAUAGGUUCUCCCCUUUAAGUAACUAAUUUCAUAAUUUUAUUGAAAACAGAUGUUCAAACGGAUUAGACAAAACUGAUAUUAGAAAGAACGAAAUAUAUGGCCGCCACAGAUUACUUUUCAAUAUUGGUCAGUUUUCAGUUUUCCAUCUCAAACUAUGCAGCCACACAGUUCCAAACUUGAAAGUAAUUACGAUUCGUAAGACUUUUUGCAAAAAAUUUUCAUUUGUUAAAUUUUCUGUUUAUUGUCUCGCCUAUGAAGCCAGAAUUGAAAGCAUGGUCAUUUAAUCACAUCUUUUUAACCCGGAAAUUCAGAGCUUGGCAUAUUGUUAAUAUAGUGAAGACUGUAUAUUGCCAUCAUGAUAUCAUUUGAAUUUGAAAUGUUGAAUUUUUAAUGUGAUGCUACAUUGCAGUCUCAGUGUCUAAAUAUUUCAAAUUGUUUUGUAUUACAAAAAUAAAAUAAAGCAAAUUCACACGGCUAUCAAUGUUAAGUCUGAAUAAGCUCAUCUUUUAAUUCAGAUUGAAAAAUAUGAUAGUCAUUUUGAUGAUAUUGUUCUAUGUUAUCAGUAGUAAUGUUGGUUAAUCAAAUAUGUAAUCAAAUACCUUACGCGUUUUCUGUAUACAAAGUAAACUACAAAAUUAAUGUUCAUCUCCACGUGACCAAAAUAAAAUAACAAUUCACCAGGCAUUUACAACAAAGCUGUUGUCAUGUUGUUAAUUAUUUAAAUACAUUUUUUCGUACACACUUGUCAACUAGGUCCCUUGUAAGGUACUUAAACUAAUGUUGUUGAGUUUUGCUGCUUCUUUUUUCAUUCCAAAGCUAAGAUUAAAUAUUAGAGAUAAGGGCAACAACUUUUACACACAUAUUGCUUAUGCUUUCUUUUUUUCAGCAAACGGUUUCCUAUGUGAAUGAAUCACAGCCUGAAAAUACUUUAAAUACAACAGAUAUUCAUAUUGCCGUAACAAAGUAGCAAUCAGUGACGACCACAGCCGGGGAAUUAACUGAUAAAACAUUAUUGUACCCUUAAAGUCAACAAGAAUUAAGUGGAACUAAUCAUGAAGCUGAAAUUCAUCUAACACAAAAUCUUUUAAUAUUGUUUCACCGCCGUACAAUGAAUAUCAUUGACAUAAUAUACAACAGUAUUUUCAGACAGUAUGUGUUUAUAUUUAAUCUCAUAGCAUUACAUUGAAUAUUAACAAAAACAUACAAGAGAAAAUCGGUGACUUCAUUCCUAGUUACGUUAUAUCAGAGGAAAGGAGAAACAAGAAAGACUCUUUUAUGACAUUUUAUUUUUAAACCCAUUUUGUUACAUGCGUUAAACAUUUUUCUAUACGAGAAAAAUUUAUCGUAAUGAACUUUCGGUUCAGUAUUUUGCGUAUUUGCAGUAAUCUCUAUAUGAAGCAAAGAUUAAAUAGGACCUAAAUUACUCUACACGCAUAUUUGGGACCAAUAUUCGGAAAAUCUUAUCAACUGGAACAUAUUGUGCAUUUGCUGCUUCUGCAAGAAUGUUGCUGCAUAAAAAAGAAAGAUAGCAAAUACAACUAAUUCGUAAUCCCUUUUGUUUUGACCUCAUAAUUAACUUCUUGGCUCUAGCUGUAGCAGUGGUAUCCUUAUUUUCAAUUUCAAUACGAAACUAAUUUACGUAUCAAUAAGUAAGCCAUGUGGUACCGGUAUGAUUAUGUUAUGACAAUUGUGAUAUUUUGCCAGCAUUAAAAAUAAGGAGAUUGGUAUGAAUGCAUUAUACAUCUUUAUAAAAUCAACUAUUUCUGUAGAUUAAUUGAAUUCCACAAAGUUAAAAUCUUAGUUUAUGAGGAACAGCAAUGUAAUUCAUAUUUUUGUUUUAAAUUAGAAAGUAGAUGUAUUAUCAAAAAUAAAGAUAUUUUAUAGUUAAACAAU
This is an RNA transcript of Mytilus californianus (California mussel), 4592 nucleotides long. RefSeq lists it as uncharacterized. NCBI's taxonomy places the organism in Eukaryota, Metazoa, Mollusca, Bivalvia, Mytilida, Mytilidae. The record is from RefSeq and is a predicted model, not a curated record. The transcript has 3 exons.